UACGGGGGGUGCAAGCGUUGUUCGGAUUUAUUGGGCGUAAAGCGCGUGUAGGCGGUUUUUUAAGUCUGAUGUGAAAGCCCCGGGCUCAACCUGGGAAGUGCAUUGGAUACUGGGAGACUUGAAUACGGGAGAGGGUAGUGGAAUUCCUAGUGUAGGAGUGAAAUCCGUAGAUAUUAGGAGGAACACCGGUGGCGAAGGCGGCUACCUGGACCGAUAUUGACGCUGAGACGCGAAAGCGUGGGGAGCAAACAGG
Molecule: ribosomal RNA, 253 nt
Filed under: uncultured bacterium
Lineage: Bacteria
Description: partial 16S ribosomal RNA
Rfam family: Bacterial small subunit ribosomal RNA
Source: RNAcentral